AGAAGGAAAGUUUCUGCUGUGUUGCUGGAGAAUUUCCGAGGAUGGCAGAUGCUGAAAAAGAUCCUUUGCUGGUUUGGAGGUUGCUCUUUUAUAGUUGGAGAAUCUCAUCCAUCUAGGGUUUUGAAAUCCCUUCUUGACUUGGUCUUUGAUUCCUCUUUGGAUGUGGAUUUUAAUUGUAAAAGGAAUUCCUUAGGUGAGAAAUUGUCUCGUGGCU
RNAcentral lists this long non-coding RNA (214 nucleotides) under Manihot esculenta (cassava). Its description in RNAcentral is "long non-coding RNA (MESC_LNC010947)". The record is from RNAcentral. Lineage: Eukaryota; Viridiplantae; Streptophyta; Magnoliopsida; Malpighiales; Euphorbiaceae.